GGCAUAGGGGCUCAAGGGCCCCGUUACAGUAUUUUGGGGAGUUUACCCUCUAGAGGAUUCCACUGGUUACUUCAGGUACACCUUAUGUAAAUGGAGAGGGUGAAGUAAAGUUACAAAGUUAUUUACUUGGCCUGUGCCCUGCAGAGAGGAUAUUUCCUGUCAUAGCUGAAGUGUGAAUUGGCCUUAUAUUCCCUGCAUCCAGACCCUGUUUUCCUGCCUCACCACCAGGCCCCUCCUCCAACAGUGGGGAUUAUAAUUCGGCAUGAGAUUUGGGUGAAGACAAAGAGCCAAACAGUAUCAUAUGAUAUUGACAAUCUGUCUCUCUCUCUCUUUUUUUUUUUUUUUUUUGAGACAGGGAAUCACUCUCUGUCACCCAGUCUUGAGUGCAAUGGUAUGAUCACAGCUCACUGCAGCUUCGAGCUGCCGGACUCAAGCAAUCCUCCCAUCUCAGCCUCCUGAGCAGCAAGACUACAGGCAUGCACCACCACACCUGGCUAAAUAUUUAAUUUUUUAUAGAGACAAGACCUUGCUCUGUUGCCCAGGAUGGUCUCAAACUCCUAAGCUUAAGUGAUCCUACUGCCUUGGACUCCGAAGUACUAGGAUUACAGGUUGAGUCAGGAAGAAAAAAACACAUUCACAAUGUGUUUCAUGAGGUCAAUGAUUCUUUUCCAGAAAAUAAAGUAAGUGUUCAUCUGGUCUUAGAAUGUUAUCAUCAACUUGAAAUUUCUACAUAUUUUUCUCCUUUCUUUCUCUCUCAUUUUCUUAGAUCCUUUGUCUUCUCUGUUGGCUGCUUCUGCCUCCCACCUUCUCACUCAUCAUCUCAUCAAGCAUUAGCAACUUUUUGUUAUUGAUAAAGUCUGAAGAGUGUUGAGUUGACAAAUGUUGUGCCUUUAAUAGUCAAAAAAUACAACAACAAUUUAAUCCUGAAACAUGGUGAUAUAGAAGAAGAUGGAAGUUUGAGAAGCUGUUUUUAUUUAGAUCAGUGCAGGCAGAUUGUUUUAAAUAUAAUGCCUAGAAAUUUUUUUAACUCAUGCCCAUCUUUACCAUCAGAAUGUUCUUAGUUUAUAUACAUACAGCUAGUUAUCUUAUAUUUACUUAUUUUAUUAUUACUGUCUUUGUACUUUUAUAUAAUUAACUGCCAUCCAGUGACUUUUCUUUAAAUGUAGUGAAAAACAUUUCACUACAAAAUUUCCAUUAUAUCUAUUCAUUGCAAUAGUUCAAUUGCAUUAAAAACAAAACAAAAUUCCACUAAAUUUCAGAUAGAUAGGCAGCAAAUAUAUAACUUGACAAAAUCCUAAGUAUUCUGAGUCAAUUCAGUGGAGGAGGAGGGCAAUCUUCAGUGAGUUAAAAUAAGAGCAUUAUAUUUUACAGUUGUAGGUGGCCAUCAAGGUCAUCUAGUCAAGCUACAUUGAUUCAUAAUUUUGAAAACUAAGAUCCUAUAUUAACUAUCUUUUCUGACCACAGUGGUAUGAAACUAAAAAUCAAGAACAGGAGGAAUCAUGGAAAAUGAACACAUUUGUGGAAAUUAAAUAACAUGCCCCUGAAAAACUGUUGGGUUAAAGAAGAAAUUAAAGGAGAAAUUUUUAAAAUCUUGAGACAAAUCAAAAUGGAAACACAACAUACCAGACUUAUGGGAUAUGUUAAAAGCUGUUCUAAGAGAGAAGUUUAUAGCAAUAAGCAUCUACAUCAAAAAAAGAAGAAAGAUCUCAAAUAAACAACCUAAUAUUAUACUUUAAGGAACUAGAAAAAGAAGUAUGACUAAGCCCAAGGUUAGCAGAAGGAAGGAAAUAACAAAGAUCGAGCAUAAAUAAAUAAAACAGAAACUAGAAAACCAAUAGAAAAGAUCAAUAAAAUUAAGAAAUUGGUUUUUAGAAAAGCUAAAUAAAACUGACAAGCCCUUGUCUAGACUAAGGAAAAAAAAAACUCAAAUAAAUAAAAUUUAAAAUAAAAAAGGAGACAUUACAACUGAUAACAGAAAGAGAAAGAAUCAUGAGACUACUGUGAGCAAUUAUGCACUAAUGAAUUGAACGACCUAGAAAAAAUAGAUAAAUUCCUAGAAACAUGUAACCUACCACGCUGAAUCAUGAAGAAACUGGAAAUCUAAACAGACCAAUAAUGAGUCAGAGUACUAAAUCAGGCUUUAUAAGUCACCCAUCAAAGAAAAACCCAGAACCAGAUGGCUUCAUAACUGAAUUCUAUGAAAUAUUUUUUAAAAACUAAUACCAAUUAUACUCAAACUCUCCCAGAGAACUGAAGAAGAAAGAAUACUUCCAAACUCAUUUUAUGAGGCUGCAUUACUCUUCCUCUAAAACUGGACAAAGACACUAUGAAAAAAGAAAACUAUAGGCCAAUAUCACUGACAAACAGAUGCAGAAUUUCACAACAAAAUACGAGGAAACCAUAUUCAACAAUACUUUAAAAGGAUCACUCACCAUGAUUAAGUGCGAUUUAUCUCUGUAAUGCAAGUUUGGUUCAACAUAUACAAACCAAUAAAUGUGAUUCACCAUAUUAACAGAAUGAAGGACAAAAAGUGUAUGAUUUCUCAAUUUGAUGCAGAGAAAGCACUUGAUAAAAUCCAGCUUCCUUUUAUGAUAAAAUUAGGUGUAGAAGGAAUGUUCCUCAAAACAACUAAGGUUAUAUAUUAAAAGCCCACAGCUAACAUUGUACUCAACAGUGAAAAAUUGAAAGCUUUUCCUCUAAGAUCAGGAACAAGACAAGGAUGCCCACUCUCACCACCUCUGUUCAACAUAGUACUGGAAAUCUGAGCCAGAACAAUUAGGCAAUUAAAAAAAAAGGCAUCUGCAUAGGAAAGGAAGAAGUGAAAUUGUCUCUUUACUGACAUGAUAUUUUACAUAGAAAAUUCAGAAGACUUCACCAAAAACUUGUUAGAACUAAUGAACUAAUUCAGCAAAGUUGCAGAACAUAAAAUUAACAUACAAAAAAAAGUAGUGUUUCCACAUACUAAUAACAAACUAUGUGAAAAAGAAAUUAAGAAAACAAUCCCAUUUGUAAUAGUGUCAAAAAUAGAUAAAUAAAAUGCUUAUGAGUAAAUUUAACCAAAGAGAUGGAAGAUCUUUAUACUGAAAACUAUAAAACAUUGAUGAAGGUAAUUGAAGAUUACACAAAUAAAAGAAAAGAUACCCUGUGUUCAUGGAUUUGAAGGACUGAUAUUGUUAAAAUGUUAUACUACCAAAGCAGUCUUUAGAUUCAAUGCAAUCUCUAUCAAAAUUCUAAUGUCAUUUUUAACAGAAACAGAAAAACAAUUGUAAAACUCAUAUGGGUCCACAAGAGACCCCAAUAGCCAAAGCAUUCAUAACCAAAAAUAACAAAGCUAAAGGCAUCAUACAACUGGAUUUCAAAAUAUAUUGCAAAGCUGUAGUAAUCAAAACAGAAUGUACUGGCAUAAAAACAGACACACUGACCAACCGAAUGGUAUAGACAGCCCAGAAAUAAACCCACACCUCUACAGUCAAUUUUGACAGAGGUACCAAGAAGACAAAAUGACGAAAGGGCAGUCUCUUCAAUAAAUGGGAAAACUGGAUAUCCACAUGAAAAAGGAUGAAAAGGACCUUUAUUUCACUCUUAUACAAGAAUAAAGUAAAAAAUGGAUUAAAGACUUAAAUGUAAGACAUGACACUGUAAAUCUACUAGAAGAAAACGUAGGGGGAAAGUUCCAUGACAGGUCUGUAACAGUGACUUCUCAGAUAUAAUCCCAGAAGCACAGGCAACAAAAGCAAAAAUAGACAAAUAUAAUUGUAUUCAACUAAAAAGUUUCAGGGCAGCAAAAGAAACAAUAGAGUGAAGAGAUAAUGCACAGAUUGGGAGAAAAUAUUUGCAAAUUGUACAUCAGAUAAGGGGGCUAAUAUUCAAAAUAUACAAGGACACAAAUUACUCAGUAACAAGAAAACAAAUAAACCUAUUUAAAAAUGUACAAAAAACCUGAAUAGACAUUUCUCAAAAGAAGACAGAAGUAGUUAACAGAUACAAGAAAAAAAUUCUCAAUAUCGCUAAUCAUUAGAGAAAUGCAAAUCAAAACCACAAUGAAAUAUCACCUCAUACCUACCUGUUCAAUUGGAUCAAAAAAACAAAAGGUAAGUGUUGGCGAGGAUGUGGAGAAAAAGAAACCCUUGUAUACUGGUGGUGAUAUUAUAAAUUAGUACAGCCAUUUUGGAAUACAGUAUUGAGCUUCCUCAAAAAACUAUAAAAAGAAUUGCAAUAUAAUCCAGCAAUCCCACUUUGGGGUACAGUAUAUACCCAAAGGAAUUGAAAUCAGUAUUUUGAAGACAUAUCUGCACUCCCAUCUUCACUGAAGAAUUUUUCACAAGAGCCAAGAUAUGCAAAAAACCUGUGUCUACUGAAGCAUGAAUGGAUUUUUAAAAUGUCGUAUAUAUACACAAUGGAAUACUCUUAAGGCUUAACACACACACACACACACACACACACACACACACACACACAGAGAGAGAGAGAGGAAAUUCUGGCAUUUGUGACAACACGGAUGAACCUAGAAGACAUUAGGCUAAAUGAAAUAAGCCAGGCACAGAGAGACAAAUGCCAUAUGAUUUCACUUUUAUGAGAAAUCUAAAAAAAGUCAAAUUCAUUCAAGUAGAGAGUAGAAUGGACCAGAGGUUGGCAAUGAUUGGGGCGCAGGAGUAGACAAGGAAAGGGGAGAUGUUGGUUAAAGGGUACAGGGUUUCAGUUAGACAUAAGGAACAUGUUCUGGUGAUCUAUUGCAUAGCAUGGUGACUACAGUUAAUAAUAACGUAUUAUGGCCGGGCGCGGUGGCUCACGCCUGUAAU
This 4799-nucleotide long non-coding RNA is filed under the name Homo sapiens (human). RNAcentral describes it as "HSALNT0081115". Lineage: Eukaryota; Metazoa; Chordata; Mammalia; Primates; Hominidae. The record is from RNAcentral.